AUUGAACGCUAGCGGGAUGCUUUACACAUGCAAGUCGAACGGCAGCGCGGACUUCGGUCUGGCGGCGAGUGGCGAACGGGCGAGUAAUGUAUCGGAACGUGCCCAGUAGAGGGGGCUAACUACGCGAAAGCGUAGCUAAUACAGCAUACGCUAUACGGGGGAACGGCGGGGAUCGUAAGAGAUUGGCCUAUUGGAGGGGCCGGUAAGGGAUUAGCUAGUUGGUGAGGUAACGGCUCACCAAGGCGACGAUCCGUAGCUGGUCUGAGAGGCCGACCAGCCACACUGGAACUGAGACACGGCCCAGACUCCUACGGGAGGCAGCAGUGGGGAAUUUUGGGCAAUGGGGGCAAGCCUGAUCCAGCCAUCCCGCGUGUGUGAUGAAGGCCUUCGGGUUGUAAAGCACUUUUGUCAGGAAAGAAACGUCGCGGGCUAAUACCCCGUGAAACUGACGGUACCUGCAGAAUAAGCACCGGCUAACUACGUG
This 484-nucleotide ribosomal RNA is filed under the name uncultured bacterium. RNAcentral's name for it is "partial 16S ribosomal RNA". It matches the Rfam family "Bacterial small subunit ribosomal RNA", at positions 29 to 507 of the family's 1533-position model. The record is from RNAcentral.